GAUUGGAUAGUUGCUUAGGGAAACGUGGAGGUUCUAUUACGUGAGUAAUACGACCCAUUCACUUAGUACGGCUUGCCCUAUCCGGGUGCGAUUUGCUAGUUCUGAAAAGGACGACACAACCCUCUGAGAUAGAAAGCUAAUGGCGAACAAGUAUCUACUACCCCGCAAGGGACGAUUAGAAGCUUAAUAGCCUCCGCACAUCCUACGGGAUAAACUUGCUGCAUCAGUAAGAGAAUAUUUAGAAGCGAGCAGGCAGAAGGUUAAUAAACCUUGCUACCUACAGGUAGAAAAGGAAUCCUGUUCGGAACUCCAGUUCAGGACCCGCCAUCAUCAUUAAUACGGUGAUGUUACUGCUUGCCUAUAAGUAUUCUUCUUUCUAAUGUAACCGUCAGCCGGCCUAUAAUAUUUAAUAUGAACAAAACAAAUUUAAACCAAAAAGGGAUAAAUCUGCUGUCUCUAUUAAGUACUAAGUACGUGGAGGUUUCUAAGAUGAUACCGCUUUCCGAUAAACUCGGAACUACACUAUUCAAACCAUUGGGAUACAAUAACAUGUUAUCUCAUGGUAGAAUAGGUAGAUUGGCAAGUGGGAUAAGAAGAACGAAUUUCUUUAUAAGCUUUACACUGAACAUGUGGAGAACACACGGGACGACCUUUACCAUAAAAUGGUUGAAAGGAUGCUCCGUGGCUAUCCAAAAAUGUCUAGGUAAAGAUAUAUUGAAAUCUCUAAGAGUCUUGACACCAGAUCUCCCUUUGAAUGGGUUGUCACGUGGGCUUCCAAGAAUUAUACCUGUCGAAGACAGAGUAAAAAUUCGAAGAGGACACGUACCAACAAUCCGAUUCUGGCUCGGGUUAUUUAACCUUUACCGGGUGCUAAAAGCGCCCAGCGAGCUGAAAUUGGAGACCAUUACUAAUAAAUUUACUGGGGAUAGAGAUGGGUUACGAGCUUUGAUGCGACUUGCAUUGAAGUUCAACCCUUUUGUCGAAUUUAACAAAUUAGACAAAAAGUCUCUGGCUCCCACUAAGUUUAUUAUGUCUAGAUCGGCUUCGCCGUCUAACAAAGUGUCUUGGUUUGGGAUCUUAACAGAUACCCGACUCCUUAGAGAAGGAUCUCCCAGAUUAUGGGAAAACAUCCAAGCUUACCUAACCANNNNNNNNNNNNNNNNNNNNNNNNNNNNNNNNNNNNNNNNNNNNNNNNNNNNNNNNNNNNNNNNNNNNNNNNNNNNNNNNNNNNNNNNNNNNNNNNNNNNNNNNNNNNNGUCUCGAAAUCGGGACAAGUUCUUACUCAAGUUGACUCAAUGAGAUCGAAAGAUUCCAUUAGAGGUCACGGUAUUGGUCCUGGACUUGGUCUCUCGCAAUUCGCGCUCAAAGAAGAAGCGGCUGGAAAAAUCCGGCUCUUCGCUUUGAUGGAUUCAAUAACACAAAGUGUUAUGAGUCCUCUCCAUGAUUACAUGUUCGCCAUCUUAAGGAAAAUUCCUAAUGAUGGGACAUUUGAUCAAGAGGCGUCAAUUGCUAGAUCCCAAGAAAAGGCCGUUACUGCGGGCAAGGCAUUCAGUUAUGAUCUGACUGCUGCUACGGAUCGACUACCUGUGAUCCUUACUGCGUUCAUACUCUCCACAAUCGUGGGGAUUAGAACGUUUGGGGGUCUUUGGAGGUCAAUUUUGGUCAAAAGACCUUUUGGUUUCAACAGCACUGUUGCUGAGAAAUUGAAAGUCUCUGACGGUCCGUACUUCUACGAGGUAGGGCAACCUAUGGGUGCUCUAUCUUCUUGGCCCGGUCUUGCCUUAACGCAUCACUGGAUUGUCCAAGUUGCCGCUUUUAGAGUUACAAAUUCUAAGAGUUGGAACACCGAGUAUGAAAUACUUGGUGAUGAUAUCGUGAUAUUCAAUGAGCUUAUUGCUCAAGAAUAUCUAAAUAUCAUGGCUGUAAUCGGGUGUGAGAUUAAUUUAAACAAAUCAAUCUCCUCCCGACACCGUCCCGUUUUCGAAUUCGCAAAACGAACCUGUUGGAGCUUUGCAAUAGUAAGUGGAAUCUCCCUCGCUCAAAUAAGAGCGGGUUGGAGAAUCGGGGGUCGUGUAGCUAAUGCUCUGCAAUUUGCAAGAGCAGGACUACUAGAACCCGGUGAAUCCCUGUUGCAAGCUAUCCUUUCUAGAAAUACCUUUUCAAAAGGUAGAGUAUUGCCAGGUUACAAGACGGAGUCAGUAACCUCACAAAAGGCUCUAGCCUUAGGGGUACUGGCGUUGUUAGGGGAAAGAUUCCAAUCUGGAAUCAUCCCGCUAAGAACGGUAAUGCACGCGAUCAUAGAUCCUAUU
RNAcentral lists this unclassified non-coding RNA (2309 nucleotides) under Thanatephorus cucumeris. Lineage: Eukaryota; Fungi; Basidiomycota; Agaricomycetes; Cantharellales; Ceratobasidiaceae. The record is from RNAcentral.